UCAAACUUGGUCAUUUAGAGGAAGUAAAAGUCGUAACAAGGUUUCCGUAGGUGAACCUGCGGAAGGAUCAUUAACGCAUCUCUGACGGCAGAGGACUGCCCUGCUCCGGACCGAAAGGCCGUGCAGCGGGUGCUCCCGAGCCGCUCAACCCUUUGCAAACCCCACUUGUGCACUUUUGUCGGCAGAGGGCCCCAGUGGCCCCGAGCCGGAUCGCAAACUCUGUGAACAGAACGUUGAAGCGGACAAAGUUCCGCCCAAACUUUAACAACUUUCAACAACGGAUCUCUUGGCUCUCGCAUCGAUGAAGAACGCAGC
This 315-nucleotide unclassified non-coding RNA is filed under the name uncultured fungus. RNAcentral describes it as "partial contains small subunit ribosomal RNA, internal transcribed spacer 1, and 5.8S ribosomal RNA". The stretch from base 1 to 73 matches the Rfam family "Eukaryotic small subunit ribosomal RNA", at positions 1759 to 1831 of the family's 1831-position model. Lineage: Eukaryota; Fungi. The record is from RNAcentral.